GACGGAGGAUGCAAGCGUUAUCCGGAAUUAUUGGGCGUAAAGCUUCUGUAGGUGGUCUCAUAAGUCCCAUGUCAAAGCGUAGUGCUUAACUCCAUACAGGCGUGGGAAACUGCUAGUCUUGAGUACAGUAGGGGCAGGAGGAAUUUCCGGUGUAGCGGUGAAAUGCGUAGAUAUCGGAAAGAACACCAGUGGCGAAGGCGCUCUGCUGGGCUGUCACUGACACUGAGAGUCGAAAGCUAGGGGAGCGAAAGGG
Molecule: ribosomal RNA, 253 nt
Filed under: uncultured bacterium
Lineage: Bacteria
Description: partial 16S ribosomal RNA
Rfam family: Bacterial small subunit ribosomal RNA
Source: RNAcentral